Molecule: ribosomal RNA, 637 nt
Filed under: Sporisorium veracruzianum
Lineage: Eukaryota; Fungi; Basidiomycota; Ustilaginomycetes; Ustilaginales; Ustilaginaceae
Description: LSU rRNA
Rfam family: Eukaryotic large subunit ribosomal RNA
Source: RNAcentral
UCAAUAAGCGGAGGAAAAGGAACUUACMAGGAUUCCCCUAGUAACGGCGAGUGAAGAGGGAAGAGCCCAAGAUUGAAAGCUGGCGUCUUCGGCGUCCGCAUUGUAAUCUCAAGAAGUGUUUUCCGCUUCGGACCAAGCCUAAGUCCCUUGGAAAAGGGCAUCAUAGAGGGUGAUAAUCCCGUACAUGGCUUGGAGCGCCCGUAGCUUUGUGAUACACUUUCUAAGAGUCGAGUUGUUUGGGAAUGCAGCUCAAAAUGGGUGGUAAAUGCCAUCUAAGGCUAAAUAUUGGGGAGAGACCGAUAGCGAACAAGUACAGUGAUGGAAAGAUGAAAAGAACUUUGAAAAGAGAGUUAAACAGUACGUGAAAUUGCCAAAAGGGAAGGGUAGGAGGUCAGAGAUGCGGCCUGGGAUUCAGCCUUGCUUUUGCUUGGUGUUUUUCCCAGAUUGCAGGCCAACGUCGGUUUUGGGCACUGGAGAAGGGUAAGAGGAACGUGGCACCCCUCGGGGUGUGUUAUAGCCUCUUACUGGAUACAGCGACCGAGACCGAGGACAGCAGCGUACUCGCAAGAGCGGGCCUUCGGGCACCUUUACGCUUAGGGCGUUGGCAUAAUGGCCCUCUACCACCCGUCUUGAAACA